GGGCCCGCACAAGCAGCGGAGCGUGUGGUUCAAUUCGAUGCGACACGAAGAACCUUACCUAGGCUUGACAUGUACGUGGUAGUGAAGCGAAAGCGGAACGACCCGCAAGGGAGCGUACACAGGUGUUGCAUGGCUGUCGUCAGCUCGUGCCGUGAGGUGUUGGGUUGAGUCCCGCAACGAGCGCAACCCUCGCCAUUAGUUACAAGUGUCUAAUGGGACUGCCGGGAUAAACUCGGAGGAAGGCGGGGAUGAGGUCAAGUCAGCAUGACCUUUAUGUCUAGGGCUACACACACGCUACAAUGGGCAGGCACAAUGGGAUGCGAAGCCGCGAGGCGGAGCCAAUCCUACAAAAUUGCCCUCAGUUCAGAUUGCAGGCUGCAACCCGCCUGCAUGAAGUCGGAGUUGCUAGUAAACGCAGGUCAGCCAUACUGCGUUGAAUACGUUCCCGGGCCUU
This 454-nucleotide ribosomal RNA is filed under the name uncultured bacterium. RNAcentral describes it as "bacterial SSU rRNA". It matches the Rfam family "Bacterial small subunit ribosomal RNA", at positions 917 to 1382 of the family's 1533-position model. The record is from RNAcentral.